AGUCUACGAAACCCCACAGCUCCUAAGAAUUCUCUCACCUGCCUUCUGCCCUUAAGCUCCGGUAGAUUGCAAAUAACCUGCUUUCUUUCUGUUCCCGAGCUGCGUUCGGACCCAUGUCUUAUUGUAAAUCCCACGCAAGGUACCUGCCGUCGGAAGAUUUGAGCUUUCUUCUUGAACACCUCAUACCCACAGUCCUCCAGCUGCGUUCGGACCCGUCUGAUCGUAAAUCCCAUGUAAGGUACCUGCCGUCGGAAGAUUUGAACGUUCUACUUGGACACCUAAAACCCACAGUCCUCCAGAUUUGAACUUUCUACUUGGACAACUAACACCCACAGUCCUCCAGGUACCUGCCGUCGGAAGAUUUGAGCUUUCUUCUUGAACACCUCAUACCCACAGUCCUCCAGACAGAAAGACAACAGGUACAAAGCCCUAAGGAUUAUAAAGGUAUGCUGCUUACCAUCAUCUUAGUGACCAAGGCAGCGAAGCUGUUUCUGUACCUUGGAACAGUCUUCCCUGACAAGCCAGAGAACAGUGAUAAAGCCACCAGCCUUGGGAUCAGGACUGAAAAGGCAAGAGUGAUGGAGAUUUCUCCUGCGCUAAGCCAAGAGAAGGUUUCAGCACUUCAGACAGCUCCCACCGAAGUAGCCGCGCUCCCAGCUGCUUGCAGAUGUUGAAAAGGAAAGCCUCGGUUUGUCUUGAGGUUGUCAGCAGGUGCAAGACACGUAAUAAAAUGCAAUGUGUUCCUAA
Molecule: long non-coding RNA, 747 nt
Filed under: Homo sapiens (human)
Lineage: Eukaryota; Metazoa; Chordata; Mammalia; Primates; Hominidae
Description: novel transcript
Source: RNAcentral